Molecule: ribosomal RNA, 253 nt
Filed under: uncultured bacterium
Lineage: Bacteria
Description: partial 16S ribosomal RNA
Rfam family: Bacterial small subunit ribosomal RNA
Source: RNAcentral
UACAGAGGGUGCGAGCGUUAAUCGGAAUUACUGGGCGUAAAGCGCGCGUAGGCGGUUUUGCAAGUCGGGUGUGAAAUCCCCAGGCUUAACCUGGGAACUGCAUUCGAGACUGCAUUACUAGAGUAUGGGAGAGGGAAGUGGAAUUCCCAGUGUAGAGGUGAAAUUCGUAGAUAUUGGGAAGAACACCGGUGGCGAAGGCGGCAACCUGGUCCUUGACUGACGCUGAGGCGCGAAAGCGUGGGGAGCAAACAGG